RNAcentral lists this transfer RNA (73 nucleotides) under Erinaceus europaeus (western European hedgehog). It matches the Rfam family "tRNA". Rfam says of the family: Transfer RNA (tRNA) molecules are approximately 80 nucleotides in length. Their secondary structure includes four short double-helical elements and three loops (D, anti-codon, and T loops). Lineage: Eukaryota; Metazoa; Chordata; Mammalia; Eulipotyphla; Erinaceidae. The record is from Rfam by way of RNAcentral.
AGAAAGGUGGCUCAAUGGGUAGAGUGCAGGACUCACAUGUAUGAGGUCCUGGGUUCAAUCCCCUGCCACUUUA